Molecule: transfer RNA, 70 nt
Filed under: Sphaerodactylus townsendi
Lineage: Eukaryota; Metazoa; Chordata; Lepidosauria; Squamata; Sphaerodactylidae
Description: tRNA-Ala
Rfam family: tRNA
About the family: Transfer RNA (tRNA) molecules are approximately 80 nucleotides in length. Their secondary structure includes four short double-helical elements and three loops (D, anti-codon, and T loops).
Source: RNAcentral
GGCUGUGGCUCAGUGUUUGAGCAUCUGCCUGGCACACAGAGAGUCCCAGGUUCAAUCCCCGGUAUCGCCA